GAUGAACGCUAGCGAUAGGCUUAACACAUGCAAGUCGAGGGGCAUCGAGGGUAGCAAUACCUGUCGGCGACCGGCGCACGGGUGAGUAACGCGUAUGUAACCUGCCCGCAACAGAGGGAUAACCCGGCGAAAGUCGGACUAAUACCUCAUAAAACAGGGGUUCCGCAUGGGGCUAUUUGUUAAAGAUUUAUUGGUUGCGGAUGGGCAUGCGUACCAUUAGGUAGUUGGUGAGGUAACGGCUCACCAAGCCAUCGAUGGUUAGGGGUUCUGAGAGGAAGGUCCCCCACACUGGUACUGAGACACGGACCAGACUCCUACGGGAGGCAGCAGUGAGGAAUAUUGGUCAAUGGGCGAGAGCCUGAACCAGCCAAGUCGCGUGAAGGAUGACUGCCCUAUGGGUUGUAAACUUCUUUUACAGGAGAAUAAAAUGAGAUACGUGUAUUUAGUGCAUUACCUGGAA
This 460-nucleotide ribosomal RNA is filed under the name Tannerella forsythia. RNAcentral's name for it is "bacterial SSU rRNA". It matches the Rfam family "Bacterial small subunit ribosomal RNA", at positions 28 to 485 of the family's 1533-position model. The record is from RNAcentral. Lineage: Bacteria; Pseudomonadati; Bacteroidota; Bacteroidia; Bacteroidales; Tannerellaceae.